Mauremys mutica (yellowpond turtle) is the source of this 502-nucleotide long non-coding RNA. RefSeq lists it as uncharacterized. The transcript is spliced from 3 exons. The record is from RefSeq and is a predicted model, not a curated record. Lineage: Eukaryota; Metazoa; Chordata; Testudines; Geoemydidae.
GACAUUUCAUUUGUUCAUCAUGGAAGGUUUGUGUUCAUCGCUUGUGUUUCAUUUUCUUUCUCUUCAGUUUUAACAACUCCUGCACCUACCACAAGCCUGAUGGAGGUCUGCAGAACUUCAACUCUUAGCCUUCAAGAUGAAGAUAUGGAGAAAAUGAAUGCACUGUCUAUCACUGUGCUGGGCUUGAGGGUGUUGCUAACGAAAAACAUUGCCUUGAAUAUGCUCCUGGUCACUAGAUACCUUUAUUUCUGAGGUUGGAUGAAGGGAACAAGCAAUGAUUUGAAGAAGAUAGCAAAUAAUUCAUUGGCUUUUUUUCUUUAUUAGAGCUGGUCAAAAAAUGAAAAUCAAAUGAAACUUUCCAAGUUGACAUUUUUGGAGGGUUCAAAAUGGAGCCAACUUUUGUGUUUUCCAAAAUCUCCACUGAAUUUUUAUAUAACAAAAAAUUAAAUUUUUAAUUGAAAAUAUUGUUGAAAUAAUUAUCAAAAUUUUCAGUCUACUGAAA